AGAGUUUGAUCCUGGCUCAGGACGAACGCUGGCGGCGUGCCUAACACAUGCAAGUCGAACGAGGUUCAUUCAGUAGCAAUACUGGAGAAGACCAAGUGGCGAACGGGUGAGUAGCACGUGAGCAACCUACCCCGAAGACCGGGACAACACCGGGAAACCGGUGCUAAUACUGGAUAUCCCCAUCGGAUCGCAUGGUUUGAUGAGGAAAUGGAUUCCGCUUCGGGAGGGGCUCGCGGCCUAUCAGCUAGUUGGUGAGGUAACGGCUCACCAAGGCUUCGACGGGUAGCUGGUCUGAGAGGACGAUCAGCCACACUGGGACUGAGACACGGCCCAGACUCCUACGGGAGGCAGCAGUGGGGAAUCUUGCACAAUGGGCGAAAGCCUGAUGCAGCAACGCCGCGUGAGGGACGAAGGCUUUCUGAGUUGUAAACCUCUUUCAG
This 440-nucleotide ribosomal RNA is filed under the name uncultured bacterium. RNAcentral describes it as "bacterial SSU rRNA". It matches the Rfam family "Bacterial small subunit ribosomal RNA", at positions 8 to 439 of the family's 1533-position model. The record is from RNAcentral.